GGAGACCUCUUAUCAACCUUCCCAUCACGGCUUUGCUUCCUUUCCUGUCUGAACCUGGGAUCUAAGGUCCAUGGCUCCAACCACUGUCUGCCUUCAGUGUUCUCUCAUGUCUUCACGCCUUGCCUUUCCACAAAUCCUGCUCAGCAAACCCCACUCUUAGACCAACUGGAUGGUCCACCACUUCUGUGCUGGUAUCUGCACUGAUGAGUGCUGCCUAACCCCUACUCCUCUUUCCCCGGAAAGAUGCUUUAGGCAUUUAUUCUGUAGGUUCAACACUUCCCUCUCCACUGGCUCCUUCUCCAAAGCCUACAAACAUGCUCGACACUCUCCCUUUUUGAGAAGACAGUCAACUUUCCCUUAGCUACAGUCUAUAUAGCUCCCUCCUUUAAUACUCAAACCCAGGAAAAAUCAGUCUAUAUUUCAUCUCCCUAUCUUCAACCAGAGCAAUCUGCUGUCCUGACCCAUCUCCCUGGAACCUGCCCUGCACUCCACAGAACCCAGCACUCCACGGAGCCCGCCCUGCUGAGACAAAGGUUAUCCAUUCAUGUUAUAAAUCCAACUGAAUUUUUCUUUGGGACACAUUUUACUUUCUCUUUCUGAAAUAUUUGACUCUGCUGCCUACCCCCUCUAUACCCAUUUUUUAAAAAUAUGAAAUUUCCCUUUGCUUUAUACACAUAUUUUAAUCUGGCUUCCACGACACUGCUCUCUCCUGAAAUGUCCUCUGUCUCUUGCUUCUAGGUGAAGCUUGCCUCAUCUUUUCUGAUUCAAAUAUCAUUUCCCAGUGAAUCCUUUCUUGAUCCUCCCAGAUAAAAAUGGCCACUCCCUCCUUCCUAUCAUUUAGCAGAGACUUUCUUA
This 855-nucleotide long non-coding RNA is filed under the name Homo sapiens (human). RNAcentral describes it as "HSALNT0101769". Lineage: Eukaryota; Metazoa; Chordata; Mammalia; Primates; Hominidae. The record is from RNAcentral.